UGGGGAAUAUUGCACAAUGGGCGCAAGCCUGAUGCAGCCAUGCCGCGUGUGUGAAGAAGGCCUUCGGGUUGUAAAGCACUUUCAGUCGUGAGGAAGGUAGUGUAGUUAAUAGCUGCAUUAUUUGACGUUAGCGACAGAAGAAGCACCGGCUAACUCCGUGCCAGCAGCCGCGGUAAUACGGAGGGUGCGAGCGUUAAUCGGAAUUACUGGGCGUAAAGCGCAUGCAGGUGGUUUGUUAAGUCAGAUGUGAAAGCCCGGGGCUCAACCUCGGAAUAGCAUUUGAAACUGGCAGACUAGAGUACUGUAGAGGGGGGUAGAAUUUCAGGUGUAGCGGUGAAAUGCGUAGAGAUCUGAAGGAAUACCGGUGGCGAAGGCGGCCCCCUGGACAGAUACUGACACUCAGAUGCGAAAAGCGUGGGGAGCAAACAGGAUUAGAUACCCUGGUAGUCCACGCCGUAAACGAUGUCUACUUGGAGGUUGUGGCCUUGAGCCGUGGCUUUCGGAGCUAACGCGUUAAGUAGACCGCCUGGGAGUACGGUCGCAAGAUUAAAAGCUCAAA
This 559-nucleotide ribosomal RNA is filed under the name uncultured bacterium. Its description in RNAcentral is "bacterial SSU rRNA". It matches the Rfam family "Bacterial small subunit ribosomal RNA", at positions 355 to 905 of the family's 1533-position model. The record is from RNAcentral.